This 749-nucleotide ribosomal RNA is filed under the name uncultured Providencia sp. Its description in RNAcentral is "bacterial SSU rRNA". It matches the Rfam family "Bacterial small subunit ribosomal RNA", at positions 753 to 1502 of the family's 1533-position model. Lineage: Bacteria; Pseudomonadati; Pseudomonadota; Gammaproteobacteria; Enterobacterales; Morganellaceae. The record is from RNAcentral.
GCGAAAGCGUGGGGAGCAAACAGGAUUAGAUACCUUGUAGUCCACGCUGUAAACGAUGUCGAUUUGGAGGUUGUUCCCUUGAGGAGUGGCUUCCGGAGCUAACGCGUUAAAUCGACCGCCUGGGGAGUACGGCCGCAAGGUUAAAACUCAAAUGAAUUGACGGGGGCCCGCACAAGCGGUGGAGCAUGUGGUUUAAUUCGAUGCAACGCGAAGAACCUUACCUACUCUUGACAUCCAGAGAAUUUAGCAGAGAUGCUUUAGUGCCUUCGGGAACUCUGAGACAGGUGCUGCAUGGCUGUCGUCAGCUCGUGUUGUGAAAUGUUGGGUUAAGUCCCGCAACGAGCGCAACCCUUAUCCUUUGUUGCCAGCACAUUAUGGUGGGAACUCAAAGGAGACUGCCGGUGAUAAACCGGAGGAAGGUGGGGAUGACGUCAAGUCAUCAUGGCCCUUACGAGUAGGGCUACACACGUGCUACAAUGGCGUAUACAAAGAGAAGCGACCUCGCGAGAGCAAGCGGAACUCAUAAAGUACGUCGUAGUCCGGAUUGGAGUCUGCAACUCGACUCCAUGAAGUCGGAAUCGCUAGUAAUCGUAGAUCAGAAUGCUACGGUGAAUACGUUCCCGGGCCUUGUACACACCGCCCGUCACACCAUGGGAGUGGGUUGCAAAAGAAGUAGGUAGCUUAACCUUCGGGAGGGCGCUUACCACUUUGUGAUUCAUGACUGGGGUGAAGUCGUAACAAGGUAACCA